RNAcentral lists this ribosomal RNA (459 nucleotides) under uncultured bacterium. RNAcentral describes it as "partial 16S ribosomal RNA". It matches the Rfam family "Bacterial small subunit ribosomal RNA", at positions 338 to 795 of the family's 1533-position model. The record is from RNAcentral.
CCUACGGGGGGCAGCAGUGAGGAAUAUUGGUCAAUGGCCGGAAGGCUGAACCAGCCAAGCCGCGUGAAGGACGAAGGUGCCAAGCAUUGUAAACUUCUUUUGUCAAGGGACAAAAUCAGGCUCGAGAGCCUGACCGAGGGUACUUGAAGAAAAAGCACCGGCUAACUCCGUGCCAGCAGCCGCGGUAAUACGGAGGGUGCGGGCGUUAUCCGGAUUUAUUGGGUUUAAAGGGUGCGUAGGCGGACUGUUAAGUCAGCGGUAAAAGCCCUGGGGUAAACCCCGGCGGGAGGUGGAAACUGGCUUGCUGGAGUGGGAGGGAGGGAUGCGGAAUGCGCGGUGGAGCGGUGAAAUGCUUAGAUAUUGCGAAGAACCGCGAUGGCGAAGGCAGCAUACGGGCGGGGUUCUGACGCUGAAGUGCGAAGGCGUGGGUAUCGAACAGGAUUAGAUACCCGGGUAGUC